RNAcentral lists this long non-coding RNA (570 nucleotides) under Zea mays. Its description in RNAcentral is "long non-coding RNA (ZMAY_LNC003942)". The record is from RNAcentral. Lineage: Eukaryota; Viridiplantae; Streptophyta; Magnoliopsida; Poales; Poaceae.
GCAGCAGAUCAUCCAACUUUAUUCAUAUAUAUAAAUGUCGCAGACAUAUAUGAUACAAAAAGAAUGAGGAAUAGCAACACUGAACCAAAUUCCCGCUCAAAUCUAGUAUGAUACUUCUACUGCAUCAGGGCCGUCAUAAGGAGGGACAGCAGUGCGGACGACACCACGGCCACAGCGGAGGCCGGAGCGGAGGCCGCGCCAGCGACCGGUCCCGGCGCCGGAGCAGACGCGGGCGCCAUGGACUCCUGCGCCGCCGCGGAGGCCACGAGGACGGCCACGACGAAGAGCAGAGCGGAGGCGACGCGGGGAGCCAUCAGGGGCGUCUUGAGAAUCUUCGGAGUAAAAGGAUUCUGUAGGGCAAAGCUGUGGCGGCGGCGCGGUGUUUGUUUGUGCUGCGCUGGGAUUAGGGAUGGGAAGGGAGGUUUGCUGGGACGAGGCUUUUAUAGGCCGUCGCACGCGGCAAAAUGGAGGAUUGGAGGUAGGCCCACCCCAUUUCCGUCGUCAGCGGUCAGUCAGCCGUGAAGGUGGGUUCGGCGGUCGCGGACGUGGGUUUCUCUCGGUUUCGCCCCG